This 490-nucleotide ribosomal RNA is filed under the name uncultured bacterium. RNAcentral's name for it is "partial 16S ribosomal RNA". It matches the Rfam family "Bacterial small subunit ribosomal RNA", at positions 28 to 507 of the family's 1533-position model. The record is from RNAcentral.
GAUGAACGCUAGCUACAGGCUUAACACAUGCAAGUCGAGGGGCAGCGGGAUUGAAGCUUGCUUCAAUUGCCGGCGACCGGCGCACGGGUGAGUAACGCGUAUCCAACCUUCCGUACACUCAGGGAUAGCCUUUCGAAAGAAAGCUUAAUACCUGAUGGUAUGAUGAGUUUGCAUGAUAUCAUCAUUAAAGUUUUAUCGGUGUACGAUGAGGAUGCGUUCCAUUAGGUAGUAGGCGGGGUAACGGCCCACCUAGCCAACGAUGGAUAGGGGUUCUGAGAGGAAGGUCCCCUGCAUUUGAGCUAAGGCACAGACCAAACUCCUACGGGAGGGAGCAGAGAAGAAGAUUAGGCAAUGGACGAGAGUCUGAACCAGCCAAGUAGCGUGAAGGAGGAAGGUCCUUCGGAUUGUAAACUGCUUUUAUAAGGGAAUAAACCCUCCCACGUGUGGGAGCUUGAAUGUACCUUAUGAAUAAGCAUCGGCUAACUCCGUG